AAGAGUUUUGCAUGUAGUCAAUUCCGCUGCAAUUUCUGAGUUGGAUUCUACAGAAAGUUCCAGAAUGUCUUCCUCUGACAUGUCCUGUUCAGCUGCAUCCUGUGUCGUCUGUUGCUCCUUCAUAUGGGAACUGAUUGGCACAUCACUUCAUACCAUUGCCUGCAUCAGGGUUGCCACUGUUUUUUGGUCUUUCGUUAUUGUGCAACUCCAACUGAACUUUUGUAAUGGUCUCCUGCUGAAAACUCCAGAGCAUCAUCAUGUGCUGCAGCAGAGAGGGCUAGCAGUAUUGAGGACCAUGCCGACACACUGACAAGGCUGCGGCAACAAGCUGUUGAGUACAGAUCUAUCUUGCAGUACAUAGCGGAAUUAAUAAGGAUUACAUUCUUUACUGCCAAGAGAUACACUGUUUUCAGUGUUUACCAAAUAAAUAAAGUUUGUCAUACUCGUAUUGAUCCACAGGAUAUGUAUUAAUAAAGCACUGUGUCAUGUCACUGUAAUAAAGAUUUAUACCACAAA
This is a long non-coding RNA of Protopterus annectens (West African lungfish), 516 nucleotides long. RefSeq lists it as uncharacterized. The record is from RefSeq and is a predicted model, not a curated record. The transcript is spliced from 2 exons. NCBI's taxonomy places the organism in Eukaryota, Metazoa, Chordata, Ceratodontiformes, Protopteridae.